UUACACAUAAACAACAAAGGACAAAAUAACAAAACAUUACAAUAUACAGAUCUCAGUCAAUAGUCAUGUUUGUUAGAGUAGAGCGUGCUUAGCAUUUACCAAAGCAUUGCACUUUAACCAAGUUAAUAGACUGUUAAAGACACUUCUGCUUAUGUCUGCGGUGUUACUGUGUUACAAGUGGAAGCACAAAACAGCCUUCAUGUGCAAUCAUAAAAUAAUGUACAUAAGUAGGGAAAAAAUAAUAAACAUGAACAAAUAGAAUUUCUGUUUCAUUUUAUUUUAUUUUCACUUUAAUCACAAUGCAUUUACACCAAGCAGCCAUCCAUACACAUUUAAGUCUUUUUUUAUAUUUUCGACACAAAAGUAACCACUAACACAGGAAUUGAGCUUCAGACACGAAUGACAAAAAUUAACAUAUCUCUUUACCUCUAACAGGAAUCUGUCAUUUUUGCUUAUUUCUUUUAUGUCUGAAGAUAAAUGUAUGCAAAGAUAGCACAUUAGAACGACACACGGGGAUAUAAGUUCCUCUUCUGUAUUUUUGCUGUCAUUUGAAAGUGAUUUGAACUUUGCUAAGAUGCUCACUGAGAUCAACGGAUUCUAUUUAAAGUUACUGAAUAUACUCUACAGACAGAUGAUGUUUCCUGAAUCAAUUCCUCUCUUUUUGAUUGUUCUUGUGUUGAGUUCCUCAACUGAUUCAACUCAACCUUUAAUAAAAGUUCCUGAAACAGAACAAAAAAAAUCUGAAGGAUCAUGUGUCACCAUCUCCUGUACUUAUGAUCCAGGAUAUGAGGAAAACUUGAAACUUCUUUGGUUUAAGAAUCCAGUAUAUGACAAUGAUUUAAAAAUCUUUAAUGGGACUAUUGUAUAUAGUAACACAGAUGAUCGUCCCCAGUCAGCAGGUUACUCGAGUAGAGUCGAAUACAUCACUGGUAAAACAGAAAACCCCACAAACUCUUGGUUGAAAUGUGAUUUAAAAAUCAAUGAUCUACAGAAGACAGACAGUGGGAAUUACAGCUUUAGAAUCAUUGGCUCAGACACACACAAGUACAGGAGCACAAAUAUGAGUCUCACAG
Molecule: long non-coding RNA, 1073 nt
Organism: Paramisgurnus dabryanus
Lineage: Eukaryota; Metazoa; Chordata; Actinopteri; Cypriniformes; Cobitidae
Source: RefSeq, a predicted model, not a curated record